Felis catus (domestic cat) is the source of this 4293-nucleotide long non-coding RNA. RefSeq lists it as uncharacterized. NCBI's taxonomy places the organism in Eukaryota, Metazoa, Chordata, Mammalia, Carnivora, Felidae. The transcript is spliced from 2 exons. The record is from RefSeq and is a predicted model, not a curated record.
UCCAAAGUAGGCUCCAGGCUCUGGGCUGCCAGAACAGAGCCCGACACGGGGCUCGAACCAACAGCAGGAUCAUGACCUGAGUCGAAGUUGGAAGCUUAACUGACUGAGCCAUCUGAAAUUGGCACCCCGAGAUCAGAUCAACAGCUUCCUAAACCAACCAAGGAUUGGGUUAAAUUAAACUUUAUAAGGUUGUAUUUAUGAAAAAAUGAUGUAUUAAGACAAAUUUUAAAUGUCUUGUACUUGACUGAAUUCUUCCUGCUUUUAAUGGGUUAAUAUUUUUCCCCAUUAAAAAAAAUGGUCUAAAAUAUAAUUUGUGGAGAUAAUAAUUAAGGCCACAGUAGUGUUUUAGAAUCAGUAAAGAAAAAUAGUUCUUAGUAAAGUUGCUCAAUAAGCCUAUAUUCUGGAAUCCCAAUACUCUGUUCUAGAACCUGUGUGUGGCCAUGGUCUAGAGCCAUCCGUGGGAGAUGUGCCUCAGGAACCUCCAGACACAUAAAUGCAGACCCUCAAGAGCAAUCUAUGCCUCCACCUCUAUCCCUAGGGAUAACCUUAUUUACAAAGUUUAAAAGUGGACAGUUGGGAACUGGAGCUGUGGUAAAGUUGCACACCAAGCAGCAUGGCUUCCCUCGGUAACACAGUCCGUCUCAACAACCACCAAAGACAGGAAACGAGGCAAGAUGACCUGAGAUUACUUGAGUGGUACUGGUAUGUGGCGUUCCACUCCGGAGAGGGCUCUCCUGGUGGACUAGGGCUUCAUGGAGAGCUCCGACGUGGAGGAGACUGGAGCAGAGCCUUGGGAGGAAGAGCAGGGACAUCUGGCCAGCACUGGCAGGUAGGAAACUAUAUAGUCAUGGAAGGAGAACCAUGGUGGUGUUUUAGAAGGAAAGUGAGUGGAUCAGGAGGCAGAGCCAGAUGGUGCAUGUAGAAAGUUAAUGGCUGGAAAGAAAGGUUGGAGUCAUAUUAUAAAGGAAGAAGGGAAAAAGACUAUUCUGAGUUCUCAUCUAUUGUCUGAUUUAAUCUUCACAAUAGCUCCAUAAUGGAGGCUGUGGAUUAGCCAGGGAAUGCUUAGCUAGAAAAACAAUGCAGUCUGGGUUAGCUUAAACCAAAAAGGAAAAUGCAUCACAAGACCCCAAGGGUUAAAGUGUAGUCAAUUUAAAUUGGUAUCUACCCACUGUCCAGUCACCUGUGAUCAAGGGUGGGGGAGGGGGACCGAAUUCUACACAAAUACGGCUACUAGGGAUGCCAUGUGAGUGGACACUGUAUUGAAUAGAAAACAGAAUAUAUAUCAUAAUCCUUAGAGGAAUUGUGAAAAUGUAAUGCAAAAAACUGUAACUUAGAAUUAUGUAAAAAAAUUAAAAUUGGAAGGGUAAAGACUAGAUAUAUAGAUAAAACAUGCUUGGUCAUAAGAAUUGUUGAGACCAAGUGAUGUGUACAUGGGAUUCAUUAUUCUGCAUAUCUUUGUAAAUGUUUAAAAUUCUCCUUAAUAAAAAGUUAAAAAAAUACAUAGUUCACACAGGGUCCCUUGGUCCUUCUGUUCCAAUCAUUGUACAUGCUUUACUAGAUUAAAAACAGACUUGAAGUUCUUUCCCAUGCAAGGAAGACACAACCACCUAGACUCAUUAAGUAGAAAGUUUCAGACUCGGUAAGCAUUAUUGUCAGAAUUCCAGCGGACUACAAGUCCUGAUGUAUUUCCUUGCAAUUUUGAUUUAGUGGGUCUGGAAAGGGAUUUGAGUGUCUUCUCUCCUAGUGACUCCUUCCAACUCCAGUGACACUGAUGCAUGUUCAAGUUUGGGGAGCACAGCGUCAAGGGAUUCUAUGGAUUAUUAUAUGCAAGUCAUAAUAUCCUUGGUUUGGGUCCUUCCCUGCUAUAGGACUCAAGCAGCGUGAUGAUGUGGUACUUUAAGCACAAUCUUAACUACAUCAAUGCAUUAUAUGGCAUUCUGCCAUUCAUUCUCAUUUUGUGAUUCCAGCAUAGUGUCUUUUUCUUGGGCAACUGAUUUAUAGAGCCUACUGCCAUUUUAAUUGCUUUUGUUUCAAAACAUAAAUCUCAUGGAUGAGUUUUUAUCUCUCAUGUAGCACACUCAACUUACAUGUUGUCUGAAGUCUUUCCCCAGGAAUGCUCCUGCCUUCCUUUACCAGGGCAGCAGCACAGAGGGCCCUGCACUCAAUGGGCCACACCCUUGGUUUAAUGCUCUCCUGUUGUCUGAAGUUCUUAAUGUUGUUUCUGAACUUGUGUUUUGUAAGUGAAGUCUCAUGCAGUAUGUGCCCACUGUUCCUCACCAACCCACUCAGAGCCUUCGUGAUCUCUGUAUGCACAAAAUUCCAGCAGACCCGUGAUGCAGGAGUUGAGAUGCAAAGUAAAUAUAAGCAAGUUAUUCCUACAACUAAGUGGGGCCCCGAGAGCCCUAAGAGGCCACACUAUUUAAACCAGACUUUGAUUUGAACGCAAAAAGAAGGUAAUAGCAUGCUAAGCAGCAUGAAUGACCAUGGAACCCUGUCAUAUCCUUUUUUACUCAUGUUACUUUUUUUUAAAGUUUUUAUUGUACUCAUGUCAUUAGCCAUUUACUCACUUCAUUAGCCAUCCACUUAUGCUGAAUAUGAUGACAAGAAAAAACGAAAACAAAAGGCAGCCCAUAGUUCUUUCAGUCCUUCCUUACUCAUUAGUAAGCUGAAAGAAUAAGAAUGUGUACAUACAAAGAAGUGAAUAAUUGAGAUAGGUUUUUUUGGGUUUUUUUUUGUUUGUUUGUUUGUUUUGGCAGUGUUUCCAGUGUUCUGGUAAGGACAAAAUACAUAUACGUACAAUAUGUGCACAUAAACUAUGAAAAGCAAAUUAUCUAAUUUUGGUGAUUCUACACGAGUUCACUGCCCUUCUAGUUGUAGUUUAAAACUGGAAUUGCAUAAUACAAAGACGAAUAAAGUUAAUGCUAAUAAUUUAGAAUUUAAAUUUUUCGUUACUUAGAACAGUAUUAAGUAGAAAAUAAAAAUCCACCAUAACAAGAUGUGAGAGACCAUGGAAGAAAGGGAGGACAUUUCAAUGCCUUUAAUGGUACUAUUUUCCUAAUUUCUGGACAUCUUCUGUGCUGGGUCCUACACAUCAGCUAGCUGCCCGAGUCUUCAUGCUCUCUUUUCCUCACCAGAACCCCCAUCCUCUGCUACAUCCUAAGAGGGCUCCUGCUGAUGUGAAGGGCUCCACUGCCCUCCUGGGUCUUCUGCUGCUUCACCUGUGGAAAGCAGCACGGGGCCAGGCCUGACUUCAAAGUAACUCAGGGGACUCAACAAGCACUAGAGGAAGGGUGCUUGCCACAGGAGAGGAUGACAGGACUUCUCAAUCCCCUUCUGACCCUGACUUGUUUUGGAGUAGCAGCCACAGGCUGGAAUCACUUAUCUGGUGUUAUUGGUUCUCCCUUUGGUUUGAUCAGUUUUGGAAGAAAAAUAUUUCUAAAAGACUAAGACUUCAGCUCUCAUCCUUGACAGCUUGGUCCCUCUUUGUCCCUUUCUGCUACUCCAUGAAUUGUUGGAAGCAGUUAGAAGGCAGAGCAGGUGGAAAGCUCUUGUCAACAGUGGUUUUACCAAAAUUCUUUAUGAAGAGUCCUCUAGACAAUACUUGGGAGUUUUUGUUUUUAAAUGGUUCAAGUACAGCAGAUCACUUCCUCUUAAAAAAAAAAUUAAGAUAAUGUUGACAAACUUUAUAGCAAUCUGAAAAGGGAGCAGAGAAUUACUUAUGAAAAAUAAAAAGAACAUGUACAAUUGUAUCUUCAAGAAUUUUCAUGGACCAUUAUGACCCAUCAAAUUAAGGUAUCCACAUUUCCUAACAAAAAUGAACCAAGAAAGGGCAGCAUGAAAAUAUUCUCACGCAGUGCUGCCCAACAGAACUUUCUGUGAUGAUGGAAAUGUUCCAUUAUCGUGUUGUCUAAUACAGAAUCUACUAGUCACAUGAAUACUCACAACAUGGCUAAUGCAAUUGAGGAACUGAAUUUUUCAUAUAAACAGCCACACGUGGCUAGUGGUUACUAACUGAAGAAUACAGUUCUAAUGUCUCAUGGGUCAAAACCAGCGAUUUCCUCAGGGGCCUUCUCUAAUCACGGCUGAGGGAUGCAGAGGAGUGGGGGUGGGGAGAGGGGAAAGCCCUGAACAGAUUAUUUAGCUACUUAGUAAGUUCUGAAGCUCUCCACAGCUUUUGGAGGCUGGGGGUGAGGAAAGGACUCUGGGGGAGACCUGAGAAUGCCCUUGAACUCCUGGCUAAUGCCAACAGGAGUAAAAGGACUAGGAUUUGGCUCACUUAGACGGCGAAGAGGC